Molecule: non-coding RNA, 638 nt
Organism: Punica granatum (pomegranate)
Lineage: Eukaryota; Viridiplantae; Streptophyta; Magnoliopsida; Myrtales; Lythraceae
Source: RefSeq, a predicted model, not a curated record
CGUAGCUAGUAUAUGAAUGAAUCUGGCCCAUUUAUUCUUUAAGCGGAUAAGUAGAUUGUCCACUACUCCAUGGUUAACCUAUGAUCCCAUUUUGAUUAUGUUCCAUUAACACCUGAGCCGAGCAUCUAUUGACUCUUGCUUGAAGGGGACCUUGACCCUGCGCUUGUAUGUCAUGCAAUGAUGGCAGAUCUGUACAAGAACAUAAGAGAGGUGAAGUCAAUUCUUUAUGGCAAUAGUGAAUCUGAGCCACUUUCAGAACCUCGUGCCCAGAUGACUCGGGAAUUUCUUAGAGAAAACACACUGAGACUUUUGAUAAUAUGUCUUCCGAAGUUGAACUUGGAGGCUAGAAAAGAUGCCGCACAAAUCGUUGCAAAUUUGAAAUUGGCAACAAGUUCAUUCACGGUUGAUUGCAUCCGAUUACUUGGAAAAGAACUUUGAUCUCAUCGACAUAUUGGUAGCCGGAGCCCGGUUGAGGUCUCGAUCUCGUGGUUUUCAAUUGCUUUUUCGUUUCUUCCCUAUGGAUUCCGAGCUUCUAUUCUGUACUGAGAUGCCAGUGCAGCUGUAACUUUAAUUAGACGAACAAUAAAUCUUUGAAAUGUAAUAACGUUUAAUUCGUGGGAGCUCUAUCAACUAACGGU